GUUGAUUCUAGCUCAGAUUGAACGCUGGCAGGAUGCUUUUUACACAUGCAAGUCGAACGGCAGCACGGACUGGUCUGGUGGCGAGUGGCGAACAGGUGAGUAAUGUAUCGGAACGUGCCUGAAAUGGCGAGAUAACUACGCGAAGCUAAUACCACAUACGCCCUUCGGGGAAAGCGGGGGACCUUCGGGCCUCGCACUAAUAGAGCGGCCGAUAUCGGAUUAGCUAGUUGGUGGGAGUAACGGCUCACCAAGGCGACGAUCCCGUAGCUGGUUUGAAGGACGACCAGCCACGCCAGGACUGAGACGCUGGCCCAGACUCCUGCAGGCGGCGGUGGGGAAUUUUGGACAAUGAAACCCUGAUCCAUACAUCCCGCGUGUACGAUGAAGGCCUUCCCAGGUUGUAAGCACUUUGGCGGGAAAACGGCACGGGAUAAUACCCGAUGCAACUGACGGUACCUGCAGAAUAAGCACCGGCCCAACUACGUGCCAGCAGCCGCGGUAAUACGUAGGGUGCAAGCGUUAAUCGGAAUUACUGGGCGUAAAGCGUGCGCAGGCGGUUCGGAAGAAAGAUGUGAAAUCCAGAGGCUGCUGAAUUUGCGGCACCAACUACGAGCUGAAAGGUGUGUCAGAGGUGGUCGCGAUGUGCGGUGAAGCCGUGGUCGCCGGAAGACACCGAUGGCGGCAACCUCCUGGGAUACUGACGCUCAUGCACGAAAGCGUGGGAGCAAACAGGAUUAGAUACCCUGGUAGUCCACGCCCUAAACGAUGUCAACUAGCUGUUGGGGCCUUCGGGCCUUGGUAGCUGUACCUUCGAAAGUUGACCGCCUGGAGAUACGGUCGCAAGAUUAAAACUCAAGGUCGACUAAGGGACCCGCACAAGCGGUACGAUGAUCAUGGAUAUUCAAUUACAGCGCGAAAAAUGCGCCACUACCCUUGACGUAUCUGGAAUCCGAAGAGAUUUGGGAGUGCUCGCAAGAGAACCGGAACACAGGUGCUGCAUGGCUGUCGUCGGCUCGUGUCGUGAGAUGUUGGGUUAAGUCCGCAACGAGCGCAACCCCUUGUCAUUAGUUGCUACGAAAGAGGGCACUCUAAUGAGACUGCCGGUGACAAACCGGAGGAGAGUGGGGAUGACGUCAAGUCCUCUGGCCCUUAUGGGUAGGGCUUCACACGUCAUACAAUGGUCGGGACAGAGGGUCGCCAACCCGCGAGGAGCCAAUCCCAGAAACGAUCGUAGUCCGGAUCGCAGUCUGCAAUUCGACUGCGUGAAGUCAAGAAUCGCUUAGUAAUCGCGGAUCAGCAUGUCGCGGUGAAUACGUUCCCGGGUCUUGUACACCGCCCGUCACACCAUGGGAGUGGUUUCACGAGUAGUUAGCCUAGCCGUAAGGAGGCGUUACCGGUAGGAUUCAUGACUGGGGUGAAGUCGUAACCAAAAUUAA
Molecule: ribosomal RNA, 1436 nt
Filed under: uncultured Bordetella sp.
Lineage: Bacteria; Pseudomonadati; Pseudomonadota; Betaproteobacteria; Burkholderiales; Alcaligenaceae
Description: partial 16S-23S ribosomal RNA intergenic spacer
Rfam family: Bacterial small subunit ribosomal RNA
Source: RNAcentral